This 1281-nucleotide long non-coding RNA is filed under the name Anas platyrhynchos platyrhynchos (common mallard). RNAcentral's name for it is "lncRNA (ENSAPLG00000025711.1)". Lineage: Eukaryota; Metazoa; Chordata; Aves; Anseriformes; Anatidae. The record is from RNAcentral.
CAGGGAGGCUACCCCAUCAGGCUGAGGGGAAGAAAGGACCUCCUUGAACCCUGUAGGCCAACACAAGUGGAGAUGAAGAUGCUGUGUUAGGUGUGCUAGCAAAGCUUCAGGAUGCUGCUCUUUGUUGGUGAGAGGAGGGUGCUCACAGGGAUGGCUGUGGGGCCAUCAGCCAUCGGGCCUGAUCAGCCAUCGGGCAGAACUCAGCUGUGAGCGAAAAACUGAUGGGCCAGGUAGGUGUUGCAGUUGGAUUCGUUUGCUCUGUUUUGCUUUCGAUCUCAUCCUCAGCAGCACAAAACCAAAAUUUUGUUGCAUCAGUUCCUAUUCUGCAGUUUAUUUCAGAAACCAGUUACACCCUUCACAUUUAAAUGCCGAAUAAAACAAAACCCUAUCUUUACAGUAUGUUUUCCAUAGUUUGGGGCUCUCUCUUCCAUUUGUCCUAGAGCAAUUUAAAUACUGAUUACAGUGAAAAUGGAAAUUUCUAUGAUAAGGAACUUAUGCUGAGGUAAAUGCAGAAGAGGAAUUGUGUUUUACCCUGAACAGUCCACCUGUGAGAUGUUGCUCUGGCUGAGCAGUGCCUGUUCCCAGUAACAACACUGGGGUCAUUGGUGACUUUGGGCAGUGCAAGUAAAACAGUGUUUUGGUUUCUGUCUCAGUAUACCUCAAUGAGGAUGGCGGUGGCUUUCUGGCCCUGCUUUGGUAGGAAGAUAAUCAUGUAGGUGGCCCAUGUAUAUACACAGUGACUGCACUGUAUAGGUCUUUCUGACUCUUUUUGUGUGAUCAUCUAUCCGUCAGCUCAGCUGCUGAGCCAAAUCCUCACUUUUGGACUUUUGACAUAAAUCCUCUCAGUUUUUCCGCGUCUGCUGAGGCUAAUGCAGACGGGGAAGGGGCAGGAGCAGCAGGCAGCCCUGCCAACCCGUGCCGCAUGAAGGCUGUGCCUGGGUGGCAAGGGGCGGCUGCAGUGCUGGCAGCCCCAGCAUCCCCUGUUACCAUGGCACUGCCGACAUUCUCCGGGCUUCUUCAUAUUCCUCGAAAAAAUGCUUGGGGCAAACACCUUCUUUCGCAGAAAUUUGGCAUGACCGUCUCCUUCGCCACUGGCCUGUUCUUCCACCCUUCUCCCCACAAAGAGAACAUACUGCAGUGCUGCAAAGUGUUCUACAGCAGAUCUUAAGCAUGUAAGAUCAACAGGACUGAAAUACAUGGCUAAAAUAUUGUCUGAAGUGCUGACUGCUGCCACAGAAGAAUUCUAAUAAACGUUAUACUUGAGCGUAAAAGUGCUUCUUU